This 209-nucleotide unclassified non-coding RNA is filed under the name Hevea brasiliensis (rubber tree). Lineage: Eukaryota; Viridiplantae; Streptophyta; Magnoliopsida; Malpighiales; Euphorbiaceae. The record is from RNAcentral.
GGACUCUGCUUUAGCAAUAACUUGGGAAAUGGGAGCUGAUAAUGAAGGCCUGGCUGCUCCAGGAGGAAGCGGUAAUGGAUGGACCUCAAAGUUGGCAUUACUUUCACGCCCUGGGGUUGAGCUUUCAAUUGACAGUUUUGCAUUCAACAAUGAUGCAGGUCCAUUUGGGCUUCUAGGAUUCCGGUGGGGACUUCUACUUGGUGGACUAU